AGCUUGCUCUCGGGUGACGAGUGGCGGACGGGUGAGUAAUGUCUGGGAAACUGCCUGAUGGAGGGGGAUAACUACUGGAAACGGUAGCUAAUACCGCAUAACGUCGCAAGACCAAAGAGGGGGACCUUCGGGCCUCUUGCCAUCAGAUGUGCCCAGAUGGGAUUAGCUAGUAGGUGGGGUAACGGCUCACCUAGGCGACGAUCCCUAGCUGGUCUGAGAGGAUGACCAGCCACACUGGAACUGAGACACGGUCCAGACUCCUACGGGAGGCAGCAGUGGGGAAUAUUGCACAAUGGGCGCAAGCCUGAUGCAGCCAUGCCGCGUGUAUGAAGAAGGCCUUCGGGUUGUAAAGUACUUUCAGCGGGGAGGAAGGGAGUAAGGUUAAUAACCUUAUUCAUUGACGUUACCCGCAGAAGAAGCACCGGCUAACUCCGUGCCAGCAGCCGCGGUAAUACGGAGGGUGCAAGCGUUAAUCGGAAUUACUGGGCGUAAAGCGCACGC
RNAcentral lists this ribosomal RNA (501 nucleotides) under Klebsiella oxytoca. Its description in RNAcentral is "bacterial SSU rRNA". It matches the Rfam family "Bacterial small subunit ribosomal RNA", at positions 77 to 572 of the family's 1533-position model. Lineage: Bacteria; Pseudomonadati; Pseudomonadota; Gammaproteobacteria; Enterobacterales; Enterobacteriaceae. The record is from RNAcentral.